RNAcentral lists this ribosomal RNA (255 nucleotides) under uncultured bacterium. RNAcentral's name for it is "partial 16S ribosomal RNA". It matches the Rfam family "Bacterial small subunit ribosomal RNA", at positions 524 to 776 of the family's 1533-position model. The record is from RNAcentral.
UACGAAGGGGGGCUAGCGUUGCUCGGAAUUACUGGGGCGUAAAGCGCACGUAGGCGGCUUUCUAAGUCGGGGGUGAAAUCCUGGAGCUCAACUCCAGAACUGCCUUCGAUACUGGGAGUCUCGAGUCCGGGAGAGGUGAGUAGAACUGCGAGUGUAGAGGUGAAAUUCGUAGAUAUUCGCAAGAACACCAGUGGCGAAGGCGGCUCACUGGCCCGGUACUGACGCUGAGGUGCGAAAGCGUGGGGAGCGAACAGG